Caenorhabditis japonica is the source of this 45-nucleotide non-coding RNA. The record is from Rfam. Lineage: Eukaryota; Metazoa; Nematoda; Chromadorea; Rhabditida; Rhabditidae.
CCAACGGCCCUCUUUAGGGCCACAAUCUUAAUAAUCCUCAUUUUU